RNAcentral lists this ribosomal RNA (207 nucleotides) under Triticum aestivum (bread wheat). RNAcentral's name for it is "partial small subunit ribosomal RNA". Lineage: Eukaryota; Viridiplantae; Streptophyta; Magnoliopsida; Poales; Poaceae. The record is from RNAcentral.
GAGCUGCCAAGUACCAUUCUCGCAACAAUACUAUCGUUAAAGGAUCGGUUUUCCUAAGAGCAUGGAUCGUUCACGAGCCGAAUUCGCUCUCUUGCAAUGCGUUUGAAUCACGAACUAGAGUCUGACUCAUUCACUGCUGAUUUUUUUAGGAUUGUUCUAACCUCUUACAAACUUCCACCGCCACUUCAAAGAAUAACAAACUCUUAG